GUCCAAACUCGAAUGACUAUCUCCUCUCCGCCGCUGCCAUCGCACCUCCGGCACGCAAGCAGACAUUGAAAAACCUUGAUUUGUCAGAGAGUAAUGGAGGAAAAAGAGAAUUUUUCUCCACCUCCUUCCCCUCAAGCGCCUCCUUUGCACCGCCUCCAGUGGCCUCUUCACGGUUCUCAACGGUUGACACGGCUCCUAUCACAGGCCCCGGUGACUUCUAUAGGGAGUUCGUGUUGGAAUCCAAGAAGCUUUGGUUCCUGGCAGGCCCGGGGAUCUUCU
Molecule: small RNA, 279 nt
Filed under: Vigna angularis var. angularis
Lineage: Eukaryota; Viridiplantae; Streptophyta; Magnoliopsida; Fabales; Fabaceae
Description: Non-protein coding transcript
Source: RNAcentral